CUACGUGCCAGCAGCCGCGGUAAUACGGAAGGUCCAGGCGUUAUCCGGAUUUAUUGGGUUUAAAGGGAGCGUAGGCUGGAGAUUAAGUGUGUUGUGAAAUGUAGACGCUCAACGUCUGAAUUGCAGCGCAUACUGGUUUCCUUGAGUACGCACAACGUUGGCGGAAUUCGUCGUGUGGCGGUGAAAUGCUUAGAUAUGACGAAGAACUCCGAUUGCGAAGGCAGCUGACGGGAGCGCAACUGACGCUUAAGCUCGAAGGUGCGGGUAUCGAACAGGAUUAGAUACCCUGGUAGUCCGCACAGUAAACGAUGGAUGCCCGCUGUUGGUACCUGGUAUCAGCGGCUAAGCGAAAGCAUUAAGCAUCCCACCUGGGGAGUACGCCGGCAACGGUGAAACUCAAAGGAAUUGACGGGGGCCCGCACAAGCGGAGGAACAUGUGGUUUAAUUCGAUGAUACGCGAGGAACCUUACCCGGGCUUGAAUUGCAGAGGAGUUAUUUAGAGAUA
RNAcentral lists this ribosomal RNA (505 nucleotides) under uncultured bacterium. RNAcentral describes it as "bacterial SSU rRNA". It matches the Rfam family "Bacterial small subunit ribosomal RNA", at positions 501 to 1008 of the family's 1533-position model. The record is from RNAcentral.